AGACUGAGAUUGGACUAACCCGUUCAGGAAGUUUUAGACGGACGGUGACAGUAUGAGUCAAAUAACGCUUGUCAGCUCGAGACGGGCCACGAAACGCGCUGUUUUCGUGUGGUUCCAACGGGCAACACCGCCAAAUGUUACUUUCAGGUAAAUGGCCGGCUGCUGCGGGCAAAGCUGGCAUCCAGCGACGCACGUUGUCCCCCUCCAUCGCCGCGUCGCUAGCAGGCUUGGCGCGCUGCUCGUCCAGUUGUUCCAGUUCCUCCAGUAUGUUCUGAACGCGGCGGACCCCGUCCCGUCUGGCCUGCCGCACGUCCGCGCGACCCUCCGGGUCGACCGAGUCCAGCGCUAGGAGCUCUUUGCUUGGCGACCCGGUCGACUAUCUGCUGGACUUUAGUCAAGCCCGGAUGGACUGGGCACUGGGGAGCUGGAGCCGGUUCGGCCUCCGACUUCGCAGGUGGGAACUCCGGCGAUGGAGCGGUUCUGUCCGGGCCCUCUGGUU
Betta splendens (Siamese fighting fish) is the source of this 499-nucleotide long non-coding RNA. RefSeq lists it as uncharacterized. The record is from RefSeq and is a predicted model, not a curated record. The transcript is spliced from 3 exons. Lineage: Eukaryota; Metazoa; Chordata; Actinopteri; Anabantiformes; Osphronemidae.